GUCUUGGUGUUUCUGGUCUGGAUCUGCAGGGUCACCGGGUACUGAGCACAGGGCCUGUGUGGUCUGUCCAUGAGUUCUUAGACCAGUGGUUCCCUACACUUUAUCCCUUUGCCUCUUCCUACUCCUUUAAGAAUCUUUCUCAAAUAUUAUUGUUUUUAUAACAUGAGGAAAAUAUUCUUUGAUUUUGCAGCUUAUUUGCUUUUAGUUCUGUUCUGGAUAAUAUGUUGCUUAGACCCAAAAAAAAGAAUGAUGUAGAGUAUUAUAGUGAGACCCAGGAGCUACUGAGGACAGGAAUAGUUAAUCCUCUGAGAAUAUAUGGAUAUGUGUGUGCCACAAAAAUUAUGAAACUGAGGAAAAUACUUGAAAAAGUUGGGGCUGCAUCAGGAUUUACCUCUGAAGAAAAAGAUCCUGAAGAAUUUCUAACUAUCCUGUUUCAUGACAUUUUAAGGGUUGAGCCAUUGUUAAAAAUAAGGU
Long non-coding RNA from Alexandromys fortis (reed vole), 474 nucleotides. RefSeq lists it as uncharacterized. The transcript is spliced from 3 exons. Lineage: Eukaryota; Metazoa; Chordata; Mammalia; Rodentia; Cricetidae. The record is from RefSeq and is a predicted model, not a curated record.